RNAcentral lists this RNase P RNA (364 nucleotides) under Victivallales bacterium. Its description in RNAcentral is "RNase P RNA component class A". It matches the Rfam family "Bacterial RNase P class A". Rfam says of the family: Ribonuclease P (RNase P) is a ubiquitous endoribonuclease, found in archaea, bacteria and eukarya as well as chloroplasts and mitochondria. Its best characterised activity is the generation of mature 5'-ends of tRNAs by cleaving the 5'-leader elements of precursor-tRNAs. Cellular RNase Ps are ribonucleoproteins. The record is from RNAcentral. Lineage: Bacteria; Pseudomonadati; Lentisphaerota; Lentisphaeria; Victivallales.
GCAACAGUAGCAGGCAAUCGCAUUACAGCCUUGAGCCGUAAUGAGGAAAGUCCGGACUGCACAGGAUAGGGAGUCCUUCUGUAGUGGGAGGAUACCGUGGACGAGACGCCGCGGGAAGGAAAGUGCAACAGAAAAUACACCGCCACGCAGCAAUGCGCGGUAAGGUUGAAAUGGUGGGGUAAGAGCCCACCGGGUACGGCGUAAUCCGUAUCGCAGUGUAAACCCCUCCUGCAGCAAGACCAAAUAGGGAACGAGCCGUGAUCCGUGGCGUUAUGAGUUCCGGGUUCUGGUCGCUUAGAUAGAUGAUUGCCACUCCGGCGCUUGCGCUGGAUGACAGAAUCCGGCUUAUUCUACUGUUGCCGUU